RNAcentral lists this ribosomal RNA (253 nucleotides) under uncultured bacterium. RNAcentral describes it as "partial 16S ribosomal RNA". It matches the Rfam family "Bacterial small subunit ribosomal RNA", at positions 524 to 776 of the family's 1533-position model. The record is from RNAcentral.
UACAGGGGGGGCAAGCGUUGUUCGGAAUUACUGGGCGUAAAGGGCUCGUAGGCGGCCAACUAAGUCACACGUGAAAUCCCCAGGCUUAACCUGGGAACUGCGUGUGAUACUGGAUGGCUUGAAUUCGGGAGAGGGAUGCAGAAUUCCAGGUGUAGCGGUGAAAUGCGUAGAUAUCGGGAGGAACACCAGUGGCGAAAGCGGCGCUCUGGGCCUAAACUGACGCUGAGGGGCGAAAGCGUGGGGAGCGAACGGG